UACGUAGGGUGCGAGCGUUAAUCGGAAUUACUGGGCGUAAAGCGUGCGCAGGCGGUUCUGUAAGACAGAUGUGAAAUCCCCGGGCUCAACCUGGGAAUUGCGUUGGAGACUGCAAGGCUAGAAUCUGGCAGAGGGGGGUAGAAUUCCACGUGUAGCAGUGAAAUGCGUAGAGAUGUGGAGGAACACCGAUGGCGAAGGCAGCCCCCUGGGUCAAGAUUGACGCUCAUGCACGAAAGCGUGGGGAGCAAACAGG
RNAcentral lists this ribosomal RNA (253 nucleotides) under uncultured bacterium. Its description in RNAcentral is "partial 16S ribosomal RNA". It matches the Rfam family "Bacterial small subunit ribosomal RNA", at positions 524 to 776 of the family's 1533-position model. The record is from RNAcentral.